Molecule: ribosomal RNA, 255 nt
Filed under: uncultured bacterium
Lineage: Bacteria
Description: partial 16S ribosomal RNA
Rfam family: Bacterial small subunit ribosomal RNA
Source: RNAcentral
UACGAGGGGGGCAAAUGUUGUUCGGAAUCACUGGGCGUAAAGGGAGCGUAGGCGGGUUUCUAAGUCAGGUGUUUAAUCCCGGGGCCCCAACCCCGGACAGGCACUUGAAACUGGGAAUCUUGAAUAGUGGAGAGGUCAGUGGAAUUGGGGGUGUAGCGGUGGAAUGCGUAGAGAUCCCCAAGAACACCAGUUGCGAAGGCGGCUGACUGGACACAUAUUGACGCUGAGGCUCGAAAGCAUGGGGAGCAAACAGGG